This 1380-nucleotide long non-coding RNA is filed under the name Citrus x clementina. RNAcentral describes it as "Citrus clementina (C. clementina) long non-coding RNA (CCLE_LNC005456)". The record is from RNAcentral. Lineage: Eukaryota; Viridiplantae; Streptophyta; Magnoliopsida; Sapindales; Rutaceae.
AUUAUUGACUGCAUAACAUUUAUUUUUUCAACAUUUUUCAAAUAUAUAUCAUUUGAAAUGAAGAUCAAAGUGCCAAUGGACUUAUAUCCCAUUGGUUAUUAGGUGUAUGAGUUCGAGUCCCAAUAAUAGUCGGGACUCGAAUCCCCUUCUAAUAAAAAUUUAUUUAACUAUCUAAUUUAGGGAUAUAAUAAAUUUCUCUCCAAUAUUAAGUGAAGAUUAUUAUAAAUUAUGAAGUUUUCAAUCUUAUCCUUCCACAUCAUCCUUAUCCUUAUCUUCCUCCUUUACCAUCUCAUAACUAAAUAUCCAUCUCCAAUUCGCUUUUCCUCUUUUUGCUCUCUACUUUUCUUUUUCCUCUUUUUUCUUUUUUCUUUUUUUUUUGUUAUCAUUCAUAACCUUUCUUUAUUCUCUAAGUACUUUGCAUCCUUUAGUUAUUUGUUGGUUUAUUUUUACAAAAAAAAAAUCACUAAAAAUCUGUAUAUAUUUAUAAUUAUUAUUCCUCCCUUUAAAUCAUUGUCUUUUGAAGAAGAAAAGAAGAGAGAAGUAUGCUGGAAAAAGAAAAUAAGCAAAAAAGAUUAAGUAAUUAAGUGCAAAAGUUUGGGUCCAAUUUUUCUUUUCUUCUCUUUUUUUUUUCUUUUGGAAAGAACAUGUCUGAUAAUUUGUUGUGAUGUUGCGCAAUAACUAUGCACCCCGGACACAAAGUUAGUGGAGCACAUAUGGUGUUGUGCUAGAGCAUUAACAGCAUCAAGUACUCAAAGUGAUUGUGACUGUUGGUGUUCACGAUAGAUUAGGGGUAGGUUUGGAAUUGAGGUUGGACAAUUAUAACUUAAAAAGUUACAGUACUAAAGUAUUUGAUAAAUACUAACUACUAUAAUUUAAAAGUUGUGUUGAUAUGAUUUUUUAAUUGUAUUAUAAAAAAUUUAUUAUAUCUUUAAUAAUUAUUAUUUAAAAUUUAUAUUUACUAUAAAAAAUUGUAAUUAUCAACAGCAGCUGUAACUUAAAAGUUAACAGCGCUUUACUCCCAAAUAAAACUUAAGUGAGGAAGAAAGAUUGGGUUUGGAGAAGAGAACAAAAGCAGAGAGAAGUCGUGUUUUGUGGCAUGAUCGUGUUUUAAAGAAGACAAACUUUUGGUUUUUUUCCUCUUUUAAUGCAAUCAUGCUUAAACGCGAUUCCUCCCACGAGUUUAGUUUAUGCGUCUUUAAUUGUAUUGCACUAGGAAUAUAAUAUGUGGUCUAAUACAAAAUCGGUUUUUAGCCAAACAUAGGUUGUAUUAAUUUAAUGCUAUGAAGAAUUGUAAUGCUGGGUGUCAAAUACAUUUAUAUUAUAUUAUGUUGUAUUGCAUUAACAUUAUUUUAUAAUAAUGUUAUAUAGUUUUUGGUGUUA